Molecule: long non-coding RNA, 7934 nt
Organism: Cephus cinctus (wheat stem sawfly)
Lineage: Eukaryota; Metazoa; Arthropoda; Insecta; Hymenoptera; Cephidae
Exons: 2
Source: RefSeq, a predicted model, not a curated record
GAGGGGAUUGUAGGUUUGAAUAAACGGUUUUUGGUAAUGUUAGAUACGAAUUAGUAUAUAGUAGAUAUUGGGAUACUGCUCGAUGGUGCUGUGGUGAGACUAUUACGGGAUCGUAUAUACUUCUGGAUUUUAUCUAGGUGCGUUUAGAUUAUUAAAAAACAUGGGAAACAGGAAAAAUACGAAUAAGUCCUGGUAAACCUAUAUAGAGACUUCCGCAUAGAUUGCCAAGUGGAUAGUAUUUCCGUGUGAUGGGACAGUGUUCGUGUACUUUUUCGAUUUACGGGAAAUAUCCGGAAAUUGUGAGAAAACUACGUAUCCGGCAAUUCCUGAGGAGUUUUCAUCGCUGAUAAGUGAUUUGCAUCGAGUGUCUGAGCGACGAUUGUUCCUUGAUGUAAAAUAAAAAAAAGAAUAAGGAUAUUAAGGUAUACGAUAUCACACAAUUCUUCGUUACAAGUUUCGGAAAGCAAUGUGAAUUGUCUUGAAAAAAGUAGAAUGGUGGAAAGUAAAAUGCUUUUUUUUUUGUACGAAAUUUCAUGAAAAUGAAAGUAAUUUUAUUUUAUUUCUUAUGGACACUUUCUUCCUCCUUUCAUCACCCUCGAAAUCUCAUUGUUCCCAAUGGGUUACAAUUGUUUCUUUUUUAUUCGUUCAUUCGUUUGCGUAUUUUCUUUUUUUUACUUCUCGUUUCUUUUCUCUUCUCAAGACUGCUCAGAUCCUCACUCGCGUAACUAUGUACUUGCUGAAUAGAAGCUUGUCCUACUUAGCGUGGGUACAGUGUUCAAAUGAAUUCCUGUCAUCUUGAAAAAGAAUCCGCAGGCGAAAGAGUUUCGUUGGUAAAAGCUUUCCUUAGAGAAAAAUAAAAAAGUGCAUUGAAAGAGAAAGAAAAACAGGAAGGCAUCAAGGAAGCUCAUCAAAUGAGUAUAGCUACGUCGAAUUUCUGGUUUUCCUCAACAGUGUGACAAAACGCGACGCUAUGAUAUCCACUCGAGAUAAAGUGCACGGAUUCGCAUUAUCCUCCACGUUAUUAAUUGUUCCCCGACAUCCAUACAAGUUUCUGGUGCAGUCUGGUGAAUCGUAGGACGUGGAAGUGAGCCUCUGAACUCCUGAAUAAUAAUUGGAACACCCCUGCAUGCAAAGUGCUCCGCUCUCAACUGUCGUAAAUCACGGGUCGAAUCCCAUCUAGGAGCGAGCCGUGAAAUCAAAUAUUUUCUAUAAUUAAAAUACUCAUCAAAACAUUGAUUAAUUAAAGGACUCAAUGGAUCAAGAAUUGCACGAGUGGCAUGCAACUUUUUUUUAACACCAAAAAAAGUAGCUUCUGUGCAUUUAAAAGUGCGUGAACUGCUGCUUCUUAUAGAUUUAUUAAAUUAUAGCAGGGUGAAUGAGUGAUAUGAAGAAUAUUGAAUGGCAUAAAGGUUCUAAAUUUUUGUAAAAAUUUAUUUCUUAAAUGAUCCACUGAUGUAAAUGUCACGAUGACGUCAUAGCAGUGCAUGCUUUGUAGCCUGGAGACAGUAUUUUAAUAAAGAUUUAUAAAUGUGAGGAUCAAUACGAAUUAAUGGUAAUUGAUCCACUCAGAACCUAUAGAAGAUUAUGUUAUAGAUGAACAUUUAAGAUAAGCCGUUCGGCUGUUUCAGUGAAGGAUAAAGUUAGGCAGAUCUAAUUUUACGCUUGGGAACUUAAUGCGCCAUUUAAAUCGGUAAUCUGCGUCGCGACGCUAUCAUGGGAUCGUGGGACGUCAGGAAAACUUCGCUACGUCUCGUUAUCACCCGGAUGCUCUAAUCAGUGAAUGUGACUAUAAUAAAAGGGAUGCACUCGAGGAUCUGAGAAAAAAUGAUGGGUCUGUUUGAUCGCUUGCUUCUUGGUCAAUAGUUCAUAGUCGCAACGACGUAUCGGACGUAUGGGAAAGUCUUAUCAUUUGCGAUAACUAGUAGUUUCUUGGGAUAUACCUUAUCACUAUUGGAGCAACUGCAGAAAUUCAUCGAAUUUAUUGUGCAACAACGACGACGCCCUAAAGUCCGUGUAAAGUUCAAAGAACCUGAUGCACAGUGCAUUGUACAUACUUGUACAUAGUCAUAAAUUCCAAGCAACACAAUCUCCUCUCGUCAUAUACACUUCUCAUGCAUAUUAACAAAAAUAUUAUAGUGAAUAUUUUUUUAUUAAUCACGUUAAAAAAAAUUAAAUAAUGAAGUUAAUUUUUUUUUCUGACAAUUGAUUUUUUACGUCAUUUCUAUUAGUACCUUUAAACAAAUGGCAUUGCACAAUAAUAAUGGAGACUAAAGAAUAGGAUUAGAUAUACAUAUAUGUAUGUAUAAUACAUAUAUAUGCGAUUCCAUCAGACUUUAGCAACCCGUAUUUAAUUUGCUGUGCUACGUGGAUUCGGUCGUUUUUUAUUUUGAACACAUAUCCCGGAGAUGGUACAUCGUAUCAAAAAAUUAUCAAAAAUGAAAGUUUUGUUUUUGCUUCCUCAUAGAGGAAGCUAUGUGACGGUGGAACAUUUUUCUUUCGAGAUUUUCAUGUCACCAUGUUAAGAAUGUGCCAAAACGUCGAGAAAACACAUUUGAAGAAAAUGUCCGGAUGAAUGUAUGUGUGUGUGUGUGAUAUGGCCUCUCAAAAUUCAAACGUGUAUAACUCGAGAACUGUCUUAGUUACAGCCCUCAAAUGUUUGCAGGCAUGUGCACCUCUAUAAUCCAUUCAUCGACUAUAAUUUUCGUCACGAUUCAAGCUGCCGUUCGGAUUUUAUGUCGUUUUCAAAUUCCCAAAAAAAGAACGUUAUCACUCUAGCGAUCGUAAAUUUUGUGAUACUCGUCUAAAUUGUUCUUGACAAAACGAUUUGUAUCCAAGGUUGGUUGGUAUUGCAUUUAGGCCGAAUCCAUCGAGAAGUUUUGAUUUUAUGAUAUUUUGAAUUUUUCGAAAAAUCAACUUUAUCGCUGUAACUAGCGCUUACUUCAACGAAUCAAACCGCAAUUCUGUGCAAGUAUGAAAUAUCAUCUAGCCGUAUAACAUAUAAAAUUUGGUGAAGAUCGGCAAAGCAGAUCUAAUUCUAUAGCAAUUCGAAAUUUCACGGUUCGGUAUAGUAAAUGAAGAUUCAUCUAUGAAAAAGCCAAAGAUUAAAACAAAUGAAAAUGCUUCCUCAUAUAGGGCCUUCAUACACUACCUACGAUUCGGAGGAAGCAAAUUGCAAGUUCCAGCUUGCGGCUGUUUUCAGUAUCUACAAUGAAAAAUUUUUUUUAACUUGUUGAGUAAUCUAAACCAGUUUUCAAGUAAAAGAAAUACAUAAAAUGUUUUUUCCUGGCCAAAGCGCCAUCGAUAUUGGUGUUAUGAAAAUUUUUUUAUAUUCUGUAGACAGAAUAUGAAUAUUGUGCAAAAUUACAAAUUGGGACAUCCGGCCGUUUUUUAGUCACAAAUUUCUUUUUAAUUUAUAAGAACACUAAUUUUUGUUAAAAAUCUUAAACAAAAAUAAAUAAAUAAAUUCUAGUAAAUAAAAAAAAGUAAUGCGGGCUUUAAGUUUAUAACCCUAAAGACAGUCUCAACCCUGAAACGUAUAGAGAGAUAAUUUAAUCAUAAAAACCAAAAAUUAGUGUUCUUAUCAAUUAAAAAAAAUUUUUAUUUUGUAAUUUUGCACAAAAUGCAUAUUCUGUCUACAGAAUAUUAAAAUAAUUCUGUAACUCCGAUAUCGGUGGGGCUAUGGUCAGGAAAAAAAUGUUUGUGUUGUUAUAGUUUGGUUUUUAGGAAAAACUAUUCGUAGCGUGAAACCCAGGCUCGGGAUUCGGAUUUCGAAUGAUAUUCGAAAGGAAAUCUUCCUCGGAAGAAAUAAGCACGAACGGUUGGAAUAUUCAUCUCGAAGGGUUUAUUUUGUAGAGUAUUGUAAUUUCAGCAAGAUCCUUUAUGGUAAUAACUUUGCGCGACUAUGGUUGAGUUUAGAGUAUGACUGAACAUGAUAAGCAUUCCGGCGUUUGAUAUAUAUAGUCAAAAUCCGCAGACUAGAGGGGUAAGGAAAUAUCGGUUUGGGUUAAAUGUAUUAAAGGUUGCGGAAAUGCACUUUGGCAUAGACUAGGAUAAGGACGCGUAAUGUGGUCUAGGAUGAGCCAAGUAUGCUGAGAAAUAGGAUAAGAUCUUUAGCCUGUGUAAUGGUAAUCAUUGCGAAAUGCUUGCUGAAUGAUUGGGGAGGUGCGUUUCACAAUGUGGCGUAUGCCAGAACAAUGUAUUUCUUUUUUUUCAAAACAGGUUUAGAUUACCCAAAAAUUAAAAAAACUUUUUUGAUUGUAGAUACUAAGAAACACAAAAUUUUUAUUUUUUAUAAUUUUUUCAUACGAUGCAUAGUCCCUGGGAUAUCUGUGUUCAAAAUAAAAAUGACCGAAUCCACGUAGCACAGCAAAUAAAAUAUGGGUGGCUAAAGUCUGAUGGAAUCGCUUAUAUAUAUAUAUAUAUAUACAUAUAUAUAUAUAUAGAUAUUUGUAUUGUAGUGCGUACAUACAUAGCGCGUACCAAUUACAGUCAGUGUGACGGUAACGAUGGUUACGAGGAAGACGAGAUGCUAGACAGUAACUUUCUUCCGAUCGCAGAUGCACCUAGAAGAUUCGCGUCAAGUAAAGCGCCAUCUUUUUUCACUUUUUCUUUCGUGCCCUUUCUUUUUUCCUUCUUUUUAACAGCUCUCCCGUGAGUUUUUCAAAUGCUUCUCGAUCUCCGGAAAAAAACCCCGUUGGCCCUGGGGCUGCGAGGGUUGUGUGAAUACGCUGGCUACAAUGGGGCUAUCCUUUUGUGGUCCUUUUCCGUCCGAUAGGUUGGGUCAGCUUGGUAAUAUGUUCAAGCAAAACUCGUUCAAGUCAAAACCGAACGUUUCACAUUGAUUUAUUUACGGAUCUCUUUUUGUUUCAUCCCUCCGUUCGCACGCCCUCGAGUCAUGUGACAAUUUUAAAGUAAAUUGUUAUCUCGCGUUCCAAUAUUUCUACAUUUAUAAUAGAAAAAAAAUGGGAAAUUGCAUUAAUAUUAUUUCAUUCAAAAGGUUUUAAACGUACUACACCUUUCUGGUAGCAAAUAUUCAUUCAAAUGAUUUUGACUGGAUAAUAUAAUAAAUUUUCUAAAUCUCCAUUAAGAGAACUUCGGACCUCUGAUUGCCAUACAAGUAAAAUGUCAACGAAAAUCGUAAAUAUCAAGAUUUUUAGAGAGAUUCGUUCCCAAAGUAAAGUUCAGCACACACUUUGCAAGGGUUACAAUCAUUUUGAUACUAUUUUCGCAAAUAUUAACCCAAAACCGAAAGAAUAAUCCGACCUGACAUUUUUCGCGUUUUUCAAAUCCAUAUCGAAAUGUUCAGGUCGGAUUAUUCUUUCAGUUUUUGAUUGAUAAUUGCUAAAGUGGUGUCAAAAUGAUUGUAAACCUUGAAAAAUAUGCGGUUAACUCCACUUUGGGAAAGAAUCUCUGUGAAAAUCCUGUUAUUUACGAUUUAAGUUCACAUUUUGCUCACAUAACCAAUGAGAUGUACGGAGUCCCCUUAAGCAAUUUUUUUAAAACAAAUGUUACAAUUUUCAUUUUUCAAUUGUCUAGUCUACGUUAUCGUUACAAUCAAGUAGAUUUGUUAUGUAUAUACUAUACUGAAGGAAAAGCAAAAGAAGAAUUGAGUACAUAGGCAAGCAUGUCUACAUAAGCAUAGUAUGUCUACAUAAACGCUCCUGAAAUACCUUGAGAAUCCACUAUAUUAUCUUUAUCGGUUGAAAUAUGGACACGGGUAAGGUAUCGGCUGAGAAUAGGACGUUAAGAGGAGAAAAACGUUUUUCCUGGUAAAAAAGGUUACGUACGUAAAUAAUAAAUAUAGAUAUCAAAACAGUAUAUCGAUACUUCACCAUUUUUUCUUCCUGUUCUUUUUUUCUUUUUUUUUCACCAUUCUUUUCUUCCUACCCUUCCGAAUGAUAUACCUUUUUUCGAUGGUUGCUCUCUCGUGUUUUCAGCGUUUUUGCCAACACACCCAGUGUGACAGGUGCAUUCAGGAAUGCAACUCGUCACCGCGCAGUGGAGAAAUACAUUUCGGGGAAACGGGAGUCCCACGCCGUGAGUUCGAAGAGACAAAAAGUUUUUUUCUUCAUCCUUUUUUUUUACCAGACCCUCUUUUAGAAAGUCUUUAAACCUAAGUGAUCCUACUUCUUAAGUGUCACGCUAUCGAUCAUUUCUCGCUGAGUAAACUGUAUUGCUAAAAAAAUGCACCUGAUCGUUGUAGAGAAGUGAUGGUUUUCAGGAUGAAAAAAAACAUUUCUCAGCAUUAACACAUCCUCGGUGAAUCUUAGGUGCAUUUGAAUUUGGUAAAUUAAAAGUGUCUUUUGGAACGAUCACACUAAUUACGUACGCUGACACUUUGUCAAUGAAUAAUAAUAGAUAUAUGCAGGUACACCGAAAAAACGCCAUGGAAAAUCAAACCAACAUGCAUUAUAAUGCACGUAAUAUAUGCAUGCAAUGUUCUCGCUUUUCCUAUUGAAUCGUAUGUCGUAUGGAUAACGAUCCGCCAUCUUGUUGAAAUCGUAAGGGAAAUCAAAUACUAUCACGAAUAUUCCGUUCGGGAAAAAUUCGUAUAAAACAAUUCGUUUAAAGCAAUUCGUCUAAUAACAAUUCGUCUAAUCAUAUUUUAUCUGAAACAAUUUGUCUAAAACAAUUCGUCUAAUCACAAUUCGUUUAAAACAAUUCGCCUAAUAACAAUUCGUGUAAUAACAAUUCGUCUAAUAACAAUUCGUCUAAAACAAUUCGUCUAAUAACAAUUCGACUGUCACACUAAAUUUGUUUAUAUUUUUCCAAUGUUAGGCAUCCAAUAUUUAUGAUGAGCUUAAAACUGUUUCGUUAGGUUAGAUUAGGUCAGAAUUCCAAUGCCACAUGUCCCAAGGUUUAGUUUUUUUUUUUAAAUAUACCUAUCUCCUUGCUGUUGUUAGUGCCGUAUGAUAUGGAAACUGCCUUCUGACAUAUAUGUAUACAUAUAUAGGGGGAAGCGCGAGAAACAGAAUAUCUGAAUAUCUCUGUUGAAUUUGAAGAUACAUAGUUCGUAAAUAUCGAAAUUUAAAUGGUUUGAAAGGGCACACAUGGCUGUCAUAAUUUUUUUCAUUUUUUUCAUUUUUUACCAGUUUUUUCAAGGUUAUCACCAGUUUUUUAAAUUGAAUGGCAUAUUUUUUCUCCUUAAACAUUGUAGUCGGCAUCCAAACGAAUCCAACAAUGUAACACAGUAUGAGCUUUAAACUAAGCUAUUAGCAAAUUGUUUAGACGCAUUGUUUUAGAUGAAUUGUUAUUAGACGAAUUUUACGCAAAUCCGAAUAUUCAUCAUGUUGAUGGGUGCCAUUUUUGGUGUAUAGAAUCUUUCAAGGGAAUUCCGAAUCAGAUUUAUAUGCAUCGUUGCAUCUUCCGACCAUGUUAAGAAAGCUCUCAAUUAUAAAUUGCAGAUACCAAAGAAUUAUUCAUGUUAUAUCAACUGACAGAUUCAAUUACUAAGAUAUCGGUGUCAGUUAACGUUUCCAUUAGUGUGAUAAAAAUGGUUGAUUUAAAAAAAAAACAGAAAAUCAUGUCUGUCAAGAUUUGAACGAGCAAUUUCAUUGACAUAGGAAAUUUAUUAAAGGGAACAACCAAGAUAGAGUAAAAGAGACACGCGUAAAUGUUUCCAGAGAAAUCACGAAAAUCCAUUUCAUCCCGCCUGACGUCUUGCGGCAUCUCUCAUAUUUCCUAGUGCUACGUCUUAACAGACGGACGAGGCUGACAUCUAGAGGCAUGAGAAAAUUCGAUCGUGAUCUGAGGAUGCAGUCGCAUUAACCGAUCUGCAGAGGAUGUCUAACGUCACCAGAACAUAAGACAUAUACAACCAGGAUACAAGUAGAUAUAGAUCAAGCUGAAUCAGCCAGUAGAAAAAACCAUCGAAUACAGACACAAUUAUUUAAUAAAAUUACCUCAAAUUUUUGAAUUCUGGUCAGUAUUGUGAA